UAUGUCCUACGGGAGGCAGCAGUGGGGAAUAUUGCACAAUGGGGGAAACCCUGAUGCAGCGACGCCGCGUGAGUGAAGAAGUAUUUCGGUAUGUAAAGCUCUAUCAGCAGGGAAGAUAAUGACGGUACCUGACUAAGAAGCCCCGGCUAACUACGUGCCAGCAGCCGCGGUAAUACGUAGGGGGCAAGCGUUAUCCGGAUUUACUGGGUGUAAAGGGAGCGUAGGUGGCAGGGCAAGUCUGGAGUGAAAGGCGGGGGCUCAACCCCGGGACUGCUCUGGAACCUGUACGGCUGGAG
Molecule: ribosomal RNA, 296 nt
Filed under: uncultured bacterium
Lineage: Bacteria
Description: partial 16S ribosomal RNA
Rfam family: Bacterial small subunit ribosomal RNA
Source: RNAcentral